This is a long non-coding RNA of Callithrix jacchus (white-tufted-ear marmoset), 475 nucleotides long. Lineage: Eukaryota; Metazoa; Chordata; Mammalia; Primates; Cebidae. The record is from Ensembl.
GAUUACCGUUCCCUUGCCAAAUGGAGAGAGGGUACUUGAGCAUCCGGGGCUUUCAGUGGGAUUAGACAUUAUUCAGUCUGGUGCUAAUAGUCCUUAUUUACUCCUCAGCCUCUCACAAAAGUCGCCGCGUUUGUUUCAGUAACUAAGGCCUACAGAAACCACUCAGCCCUAAGUGCACACAGGAGGACCAUGGAGUUGGAGGAAAAGGAAAGACCUGGAACCAACUCAAAUGCCCAUCGAUGGUAGACUGGACAGAGAAAAUGUGGGACAUAUACACCAUGGAAUACUAUGCAGCCAUAAAAAAUGAUGAGUUCAUGUCCUUUAUAUAGACAUGGAUGUACCUGGAAACCAUCAUUCUCAGCAAACUGACAUGAGAACAGAAAAUCAAACCCUGCAUGUUCUUACUCAUAGGUAGGUGUCGAACAAUGAGAACACAUGGAUACAGGGAGGGGAGCAUCACACACUGGGGUCUGUU